RNAcentral lists this ribosomal RNA (358 nucleotides) under uncultured organism. RNAcentral's name for it is "bacterial SSU rRNA". It matches the Rfam family "Bacterial small subunit ribosomal RNA", at positions 45 to 433 of the family's 1533-position model. The record is from RNAcentral.
GGCCUAACACAUGCAAGUCGAGCGCCCCGCAAGGGGAGCGGCGGACGGGUGAGUAACACGUGGGAAUUUUCCUCAAGGUACGGAACAACUCAGGGAAACUUGGGCUAAUACCGUAUGAUGCAGAGAUGCCAAAGAUUUAUCGCCUUGGGAUAAGCCCGCGUCAGAUUAGGUAGUUGGUGGGGUAACGGCCUACUAAGCCUGUGAUCUGUAGCUGGUCUGAGAGGACGAUCAGCCACAUUGGGACUGAGACACGGCCCAAACUCCUACGGGAGGCAGCAGUGGGGAAUCUUGCGCAAUGGACGAAAGUCUGACGCAGCCAUGCCGCGUGAAUGAUGAAGGUCUUAGGAUUGUAAAGUUC